Molecule: RNA transcript, 1458 nt
Organism: Hyla sarda
Lineage: Eukaryota; Metazoa; Chordata; Amphibia; Anura; Hylidae
Exons: 2
Source: RefSeq, a predicted model, not a curated record
UGUAUUGUAUGUAUCCAUCACACAGUGUCUUUAUCCUGUCAGCAUUUAAUGUUAUCUCUUUGCUAGGAAUGUAGCCGCGAAGGUUAAUUAACCAUAUUAGGACUUCCUAUUCUUACAUGUGUUAUGGCUUUCUCGAUCAUCUGUCUCUCCCAUGAAUUCUCUCAGAAACCUCCGUAUACCUAAUAUUAUAGGCUAGAGAUUAUACCAAAUAUUUGAGUGACGGAAGGAGGGGUGCAACCCCCCCCCCCCCUAUAUUAUGUGCUUACGGACUACUGAAUAAACUAGAGUGAAUUUGACCAGACAAACUGUUGUUACGUGUUAUUUCUGGUAGAUUCAUUCUCCUGGAUCCAGAUAAAGACUUAAAUCAAGCUAACCACCGAAGUUCGGUACCAGGGGUACCUAGAUAAGAUCAGAUCUCCUUACAAUCUGGGGGCUCGUCCGGGAUCGAGAAAGUCAUCCCUGGAUCCGUAUGAGGGAUAUCUGUUUUAACCUCUGCUGAUCCGAGGGCACUGACAGCGUCUCGAUCCAAGAACCAACUCACCCAUUCCGGGUAGGAGACCAGGUGAUUGUCAAGGCCCUCCAGAAGGGAAAGAAGCCGGGGAGCUUCAUCUACGGACAACUCACCGAGGCCAUCACCAGAACAGCGGUCCUCACUGAGCAGUCACCCACCUGGAUCCACGCCACAAGGAUCAAGCUGUUAAAGAAAAGAGAGGUACUAACGGAGGCAGACAGCCUUGACCUCGAAAAAGGCGGAAAAGGGGUACAAACGGGGGCAGACAGCCCUGACCCCCAACUAGGCGAAGAAGGGGUACAAACGGGGGCAGACAGCCCUGACCCCCAACUAAGCGAAAGUCUCCAUGAGUUCUGGCAGUUAAUUUCUAAUAAUGACACUGAUUGCGGAACCUGGAAAAUGAAAUACCCUUUGCUAACAGAGACCCCACACUCAGGGGCAGGUAUACACAUAUACCCAGGGAAUUACACAUGCUAUAGGGGAGAAAAGGAAGAUAUCAAUAGAAAGAACUUUACAAAGAGAUAUUGUGCUAGUUAUAGCUCUGUAGAAGUGUCACUCACUCAGAACCAAGUUUUUUCAAUAGGUGACAUUUACUGGAUCUGUGGCGAUGGUAAAAUAAGGUUCAAGCUCGAGGACAAGUGGAAAGGAGAGUGUGUUCUAGCUAAAGCCAUUAUGAACAUUCUCAUAUUCGCAGAAGGGGGAGAACACGUAAACUCUGCCACAAAAAGGAUAAAGAGGUCAACACCUGCAGGUAGCUUCCAUCCACAUGUAUACAUAGACACAAUAGGGGUCCCAAGAGGGGUCCCUGAUGAGUUCAAAGCCAGGAGUCAAGUAGCUGCGGGCUUUUAAUCUAUCCUUUCUAUAAUCACUGUGAACAAAAAUGUAGACUGGAUUAAUUACAUUUACUAUAAUCAACAAAGGUUUGUAAACUACACAAGGGAUGCGUU